RNAcentral lists this ribosomal RNA (497 nucleotides) under uncultured bacterium. RNAcentral's name for it is "partial 16S ribosomal RNA". It matches the Rfam family "Bacterial small subunit ribosomal RNA", at positions 28 to 507 of the family's 1533-position model. The record is from RNAcentral.
GAUGAACGCUGGCGGCGUGCCUAAUACAUGCAAGUCGAGCGAACGGACGAGAAGCUUGCUUUUCUGAUGUUAGCGGCGGACGGGUGAGUAACACGUGGAUAACCUACCUAUAAGACUGGGAUAACUUCGGGAAACCGGAGCUAAUACCGGAUAAUAUUUUGAACCGCAUGGUUCAAAAGCGAAAGACGGUCUUGCUGUCUCUUAUAGAUUGAUCCGCGCUGCAUUAGCUAGUUGGUAAGGUAACGGCUUACCAAGGCAACGAUGCAUAGCCGACCUGAGAGGGUGAUCGGCCACACUGGAACUGAGACACGGCCCAGACUCCUACGGGAGGCAGCAGUAGGGAAUCUUCCGCAAUGGGCGAAAGCCUGACGGAGCAACGCCGCGUGAGUGAUGAAGGUCUUCGGAUCGUAAAACUCUGUUAUUAGGGAAGAACAUAUGUUUAAGUAACUGUGCACAUCUUGACGGUACCUAAUCAGAAAGCCACGGCUAACUACGUG